This 329-nucleotide unclassified non-coding RNA is filed under the name soil metagenome. Its description in RNAcentral is "partial contains 5.8S ribosomal RNA, internal transcribed spacer 2, and large subunit ribosomal RNA". The stretch from base 1 to 120 matches the Rfam family "5.8S ribosomal RNA", at positions 35 to 154 of the family's 154-position model. The record is from RNAcentral.
GAUGAAGAACGUAGCGAAAUGCGAUAAGUAAUGUGAAUUGCAGAAUUCAGUGAAUCAUCGAAUCUUUGAACGCACAUUGCGCCCCCUGGUAUUCCGGGGGGCAUGCCUGUUCGAGCGUCAUUACAACCCUCAAGCUCUGCUUGGUAUUGGGCCCCGCCAGUUCUGGCGGGCCCUAAAGUCAGUGGCGGUGCCUUCCGGCUCCGAGCGUAGUAAUUCUUCUCGCUCUGGAGACCCGGCUGUGUGCUUGCCAACAACCCCCAAUUUUUUAAGGUUGACCUCGGAUCAGGUAGGGAUACCCGCUGAACUUAAGCAUAUCAAUAAGCGGAGGA